RNAcentral lists this ribosomal RNA (432 nucleotides) under Africactenus evadens. Its description in RNAcentral is "partial 16S ribosomal RNA". Lineage: Eukaryota; Metazoa; Arthropoda; Arachnida; Araneae; Ctenidae. The record is from RNAcentral.
UUAUUAUUAGAAUUUAUUAAUAAUAAAAUCUGCUCAAUGAAGAUUAAAUAGCCGCAAUAUGUGCUAAGGUAGCUUGAUAACUUGUUUUUUAAUUGAAAACUGAACAAAUGAUUUAACAUUUCAAGCCAUUUUUUAAUUUUAACAAUUAAAAUUAUUUUAAAUGUAAGAAAACAUUUUUAAAAAAAAAAGACAACAAGACCCUAUUGAAUUUUACUUAAGUUUAGCUGGGGUAGCUAAUUAACUAAUAUUUUAAAAAAAUAUACAGUUUCAUUUAACUUCUUUAAGAAAUAUAACAAUAUUACCAUAGGGAUAACAGCGUCAUAAUAUUUAUAAGCUCUUAUAUAAAAUAAUAAUUUGCGACCUCGAUGUUGAAUUAAUUUUCUUAUUUAAUGCAAUCAUUAAUAAAGUAAGUCUGUUCGACUUGUAAAAAUU